GACGGAGGAUGCAAGUGUUAUCCGGAAUUACUGGGCGUAAAGCGUCUGUAGGUGGUUUAAAAAGUCCACUGUUAAAGAUUGAAGCUUAACUUCAAAAAUGCCGUGGAAACUUUUAAACUUGAGUAUGAUAGGGGUAGAGGGAAUUUCCAGUGGAGCGGUGAAAUGCGUAGAUAUUGGAAAGACCACCAAUGGCGAAGGCACUCUACUGGGCCAUUACUGACACUGAGAGACGAAAGCUAGGGGAGCAAAUGGG
Molecule: ribosomal RNA, 253 nt
Filed under: uncultured bacterium
Lineage: Bacteria
Description: partial 16S ribosomal RNA
Rfam family: Bacterial small subunit ribosomal RNA
Source: RNAcentral